AACGAACGCUGGCGGCAUGCCUAACACAUGCAAGUCGAACGAGACCUUCGGGUCUAGUGGCGCACGGGUGCGUAACGCGUGGGAACCUGCCCUUAGGUUCGGAAUAACUCCCCGAAAGGGGUGCUAAUACCGGAUAAUGUCUUCGGACCAAAGAUUUAUCGCCUUUGGAUGGGCCCGCGUUGGAUUAGCUAGUUGGUAGGGUAAAAGCCUACCAAGGCGACGAUCCAUAGCUGGUCUGAGAGGAUGAUCAGCCACACUGGGACUGAGACACGGCCCAGACUCCUACGGGAAGCAGCAGUGGGGAAUAUUGGACAAUGGGCGAAAGCCUGAUCCAGCAAUGCCGCGUGAGUGAUGAAGGUCUUAGGGUUGUAAAGCUCUUUUACCCGGGAUGAUAUUGACAGUACCGGGAGAAUAAGCCCCGGCUAACUCCGUG
RNAcentral lists this ribosomal RNA (433 nucleotides) under uncultured bacterium. RNAcentral's name for it is "partial 16S ribosomal RNA". It matches the Rfam family "Bacterial small subunit ribosomal RNA", at positions 29 to 507 of the family's 1533-position model. The record is from RNAcentral.